Molecule: non-coding RNA, 2357 nt
Organism: Oryctolagus cuniculus (rabbit)
Lineage: Eukaryota; Metazoa; Chordata; Mammalia; Lagomorpha; Leporidae
Source: RefSeq, a predicted model, not a curated record
AAACAGGAGUUGAAAAUCAUCAGAAAAUAUAACCACAGGUUCAUGAGCAUUUCCUUCCCCAGUAAGAAAGUCAAUGCCAGGUGACAGCUUGCUCCUUGCCAGGCACUGCUAUGAACAUUUUACAUGGGUUCAUUUCAUCAACCAAUUUAGGUGAGUGCUACUAAUGUCUCUGUGUUUUAGAACGAGGGAACAGAGCACAGAGAGUUUAAGCACCUGGUGAAAAGGCACACAGCUUUUACGAGACACAGUCAAUAUUGGAAUAUGCAUUUCUUGUUGCCAGACUUCUAACACUGAGCAUCUCUAAGCAACCAUCCUCUGGUCUGCUUUGGUUCAUCUGCUGAGGUCUUUACCUCUAGUGGCCUGAGUGGAUGCUACUGGGUAAUCCCCAGGUUCUGAACAUGCAGACUUUUGCAUGCCCUCAAGGAAUGAGGACCCCUGCAGAAAAUUACAUCAACAGCACAGCCAGCCAGGGAGCUGAUAACGUUCAAAUAGCAAAGACUGCUCCAAGUAUCACAGGGAGAGUCCACCCAGGAGUGAGGAAGGGAUGGUGUCUAUGUGAGCCUGAGAGAGGAGAGAGGGAACAGGGAUGAGAAUAGAGAAGAGAUAGUAAUGAUGAUUCUAUGGUAGCUUCUAGAAGUUGAUGAGCCAUGUUGCAAAUAUACAUAUGCAUUAUUGCAUGAACUACAUGAUUCUCAGAGAAUAAUAAAAUUACAAGGGACUUGAAAUAUUAACUACUCCAAGGUCAAGUGGUAGAGUUAAAACUUAGAGUGGGUUAGACAAAUUUUCCAAGUUUUCCAGCUGGUUAUCACUAGGGCCAACAGGAGCAGUCAGAUUCCUUAAUUUAGUUUAUUAUUGCCUUUUCUCUAAUAAUCCUAUGCGACAAUGUCUAAUAAGCAAUGUUAUGUUUUGAUCACUCGCAUCUGAACUUACUUUUAUAUGAGUAAUAUGCUGCAAUGGUUUCUACAGGCUUCUGGAUUGCUCUUCCUCCAUCUGUGUGAAGUUGCUAAUUACCUGUUGUCAAUGAAAACAACCCUUGUAGGCAGCUGAAGAAAUGGGAUUCGAAAUAGAAGUUUGAAGUCAAGCAAAAAACACAGGUGUUGCUUUGUUCAAUUAAAGCCUAACAAGAACCUUAGUGGGAUAAAAGGGUGGGAGGUGGGAAAAGGAAAGGAAAAGGUGACGUCAUCCCUGCUGUCAGAGGAUAAAAGGAAGAAAAUAGCUUACUAAGUACUUCCCGAGAGGGAAUUUGGAAAGCUGAAGAUUUAUAGGGCUAAACUUUCUUCACAUUACAAUGUACAUUUCAGAAAAAACAAAAAAAGUAACAAGACUCUCUGUCUUCUUAAAAGUCAGGAGGAAGUCAAUAGUUAAAGAUUAGACUUUGAAGCAGGCAAUGAAUUAUAAAUCGAGGGUUUUGUUUUUGCUUUUGUUUUUGUUUUUAUGAAGGGGAAGCAGGCAGAAUAAAUUCUACUGAAUUCGUUAAAGUUUGUGUCUGUACACUUGGAGCAAUGUACUCUAAUGUACUAUACAGAGACAGGCACAGUUUGUCAAUGCUACUGCAGCUAGCAUUAAAAAAAAAAAAACAACUCCUGCUUGGGUUGUUUUUAAUAAUCAUUUGUUUUCAGAGUCUUAUUAACAAUAGCCAAAUUUCAAAAUUAAAAUAUAUCAUCUCCUGUAGCCUUGUCACUCAAACACUGUGCAGUCCUCCUUUCCCAGUUAGGAAUCCCAUUGAACACGAAGAACGGGAAGAGCAGAGGCAUGCGUCUUCACACUCUGAGGCCAGGUCCCCUCUGAAGAGAUGCACUACUUCACACUUCUUCAGGAAGCCCUUCGUCCCCCUUCCUGUCUCCAUCACCUUCAAGUCCAGGUACAUUUAUAGUAGGAAUUUGUUCUGUGAAACCCUGCAGCAAUAGUUCUCCUCAUCUCCAUGGCAACAGCUUCCUAUCAGCUUCUGAAGGAACUUGCCUGUAUUGUAAACAAACCUCUCUUGGCAAUUGGCCUGUUUUCUUUCUCUAUCUCAUCUCCCAUCUGCUCAAAGGCUUUGCUUCAAAAAGAAAUAGGUUGCAGUGUCACAGCUAUUGGAUCAAGUAACUGCCAGAACAAAUGUAAUUCUGGCAUGAUCUCACGUAUCAGGAAAAAAUAAGUCAAACAGAAGGGGGAAAAAGAUAAAUUUCCUUCACUCAACAACACAUUUGAAGAGAGGACCCCCAAGGAUACCAAAAUCCAUGGAUGCUCAAGUGCCUCAUGUAAGAAUACUACAAAAGGUUUUUGGGAAAAUAGAAUUAAAAGCUAUUUAUUUUUGUUGUGAAAAAAUUGAAUUACAUGCAUAGUUUUAUUAAUAAUAUGCAUUUUCCAUGAACUUU